GACGAACGCUGGCGGCGUGCUUAACACAUGCAAGUCGAGCGGUAAGGCCCUUUCGGGGGUACACGAGCGGCGAACGGGUGAGUAACACGUGGGUGACCUGCCCUCAGCUCUGGGAUAAGCCUGGGAAACUGGGUCUAAUACUGGAUAUGACUCCACGGUGCAUGUCGUGGGGUGGAAAGCCUUGUGCGGCUGAGGAUGGGCCCGCGGCCUAUCAGCUUGUUGGUGGGGUGANGGCCUACCAAGGCGACGACGGGUAGCCGGCCUGAGAGGGCGACCGGCCACACUGGGACUGAGACACGGCCCAGACUCCUACGGGAGGCAGCAGUGGGGAAUCUUGCGCAAUGGGCGAAAGGCCUGACGCAGCGACGCCGC
This 372-nucleotide ribosomal RNA is filed under the name uncultured bacterium. RNAcentral's name for it is "bacterial SSU rRNA". It matches the Rfam family "Bacterial small subunit ribosomal RNA", at positions 28 to 400 of the family's 1533-position model. The record is from RNAcentral.